UGGCUCAGUGGUAAAGCGCUUGCCUUGCAUGCAUGAGGCCUUGGGUUCGAUUCCUCA
Molecule: transfer RNA, 57 nt
Filed under: Dipodomys ordii (Ord's kangaroo rat)
Lineage: Eukaryota; Metazoa; Chordata; Mammalia; Rodentia; Heteromyidae
Rfam family: tRNA
About the family: Transfer RNA (tRNA) molecules are approximately 80 nucleotides in length. Their secondary structure includes four short double-helical elements and three loops (D, anti-codon, and T loops).
Source: Rfam by way of RNAcentral